This 480-nucleotide ribosomal RNA is filed under the name uncultured Ferruginibacter sp. RNAcentral describes it as "bacterial SSU rRNA". It matches the Rfam family "Bacterial small subunit ribosomal RNA", at positions 337 to 916 of the family's 1533-position model. Lineage: Bacteria; Pseudomonadati; Bacteroidota; Chitinophagia; Chitinophagales; Chitinophagaceae. The record is from RNAcentral.
UCCUACGGGAGGCAGCAGUAAGGAAUAUUGGUCAAUGGACGAAAGUCUGAACCAGCCAUGCCGCGUGAAGGAUGAAGGUUGUAAACUUCUUUUAUCUGGGACGAAAAAAGGGCUCACUUGACGGUACCAGACGGCUAACUCCGUGCCAGCAGCCGCGGUAAUACGGAGGGUGCAAGCGUUAUCCGGAUUCACUGGGUUUAAAGGGUAAGUCAGUGGUGAAAUCUCCGGGCUUAACCCGGAAACUGCCAUUGAUACUAUUCUGGAGGUAAGCGGAAUAUGUCAUGUAGCGGUGAAAUGCUUAGAUAUGACAUAGAACACCAUUGCGAAGGCAGCUUAUUGACACUGAGGCUCGAAAGCGUGGGGAUCAAACAGGAUUAGAUACCCUGGUAGUCCACGCCCUAAACGAUGGAUACUCGACAUGCAUUAAGUAUCCCACCUGGGAAGUACGACCGCAAGGUUGAAACUCAAAGGAAUUGACGG